RNAcentral lists this transfer RNA (72 nucleotides) under Bos taurus (domestic cattle). It matches the Rfam family "tRNA". From Rfam's summary of the family: Transfer RNA (tRNA) molecules are approximately 80 nucleotides in length. Their secondary structure includes four short double-helical elements and three loops (D, anti-codon, and T loops). RNAcentral also lists the same sequence under 5 other names. Lineage: Eukaryota; Metazoa; Chordata; Mammalia; Artiodactyla; Bovidae. The record is from Rfam by way of RNAcentral.
UCCCUGGUGACUUAGAUGGGAAAGAAUCUGCCUGCAAUGCAGAAGACCCAGGUUCGAUCUCUGGGUUGGGAA